This 253-nucleotide ribosomal RNA is filed under the name uncultured Prevotellaceae bacterium. RNAcentral describes it as "partial 16S ribosomal RNA". It matches the Rfam family "Bacterial small subunit ribosomal RNA", at positions 524 to 776 of the family's 1533-position model. Lineage: Bacteria; Pseudomonadati; Bacteroidota; Bacteroidia; Bacteroidales; Prevotellaceae. The record is from RNAcentral.
UAUGGAAGGUCCGGGCGUUAUCCGGAUUUAUUGGGUUUAAAGGGAGCGUAGGCCGGCUUUUAAGUCAGCUGUGAAAGUCCGCGGCUCAACCGUGGAAUUGCAGUUGAAACUGGGGGGCUUGAGUAUGUUUGAGGCAGGCGGAAUGCGUGGUGUAGCGGUGAAAUGCAUAGAUAUCACGCAGAACUCCGAUUGCGAAGGCAGCAUACCGGCGCCCAACUGACGCUGAAGCACGAAAGCGUGGGUAUCGAACAGG